AUUAGGCAUGCAAGGUCGAACGGUAUAAACCGUUCGGGGUUUAGAGAGUGGCGAACGGGUGAGUAACACGUAGGUAAUCUACCCUCAAAACGGGGACAACCCAGGGAAACUUGGGCUAAUACCGGAUGCGUGCAAGCAAUGUUUGGUUGUUAAUGCUAUUCACGGAAGUGAGUAGUGUUAAUGGUUGAGAGCAUUAUUUGCAUAAAAGGUGGCAUAUGCUGCCGUUUGAGGAUGAGCCUGCGUCCUAUUAGUUAGUUGGUGAGGUAAUGGCUUACCAAGGCGAUGAUAGGUAGGCGGCCUUAACGGGUGGUCGCCCACACUGGGAUUGAGAGACGGCCCAGACUCCUACGGGAGGCAGCAGUCGAGAAUAGUCUACAAUGGACGGAAGUCUGAUAGUGCGACGCCGCGUGAACGAAGAAUCCCUUCGGGGUGUAAAGUUCUUUUAUACGUGAGCAGUGUCCUUUAUAUUAAUAGUAUAAGGGGAGAGAUAUUAGCGUAUGAAUAAGCAACGGCUAACUCCGUG
RNAcentral lists this ribosomal RNA (523 nucleotides) under uncultured bacterium. RNAcentral describes it as "bacterial SSU rRNA". It matches the Rfam family "Bacterial small subunit ribosomal RNA", at positions 48 to 507 of the family's 1533-position model. The record is from RNAcentral.